ACCAGGGUGGCCGAGUGGUUAAGGCGUUGGACUUAAGAUCCAAUGAGCAGCUGCUCUCGUGGGUUCGAACCCCACCCCUGGUA
Molecule: transfer RNA, 83 nt
Filed under: Notamacropus eugenii (tammar wallaby)
Lineage: Eukaryota; Metazoa; Chordata; Mammalia; Diprotodontia; Macropodidae
Description: tRNA-Leu (TAA) (tRNA-Leu-TAA-3-1)
Rfam family: tRNA
About the family: Transfer RNA (tRNA) molecules are approximately 80 nucleotides in length. Their secondary structure includes four short double-helical elements and three loops (D, anti-codon, and T loops).
Source: RNAcentral